UAACAUAGUAAUGAGACCCUCCAUGGCUCUCAUGGCCUAAUUAUCCUGAAAGGUCUUACCUGGGGGGGUGAGUGGUCCAUAUGCAGUCCCUAAGAUCAAGUGGCUUAAAGCAGUCGGAAGCCAUGCCUGCUAAGCGCAUCUUGGCCUGCAUCCACACAACCAUCGUCUGAACUUGUGAGUGAGCUGAGAAGAUAGAAGUCUCUCUGAUACCCAAGUCAGCUCAGUCAAGACCAAACUACCAAGCUGGUUAUCGGCAUCUGGGCAGCAGUGAAGACAUCUGGGAGCAUCCACAACUACAGGAUGGGAGCUAAGGUUCUGACCUCUGCAGCACAGCCGGACAGCUCGAGCUGACACAAAGGCUUCUACCCAUCCUGGGCCUUUCUCACAGGGAAGACCGCCACCACCACCACUACCACCACCCCUAAAAUGCUGCAAGAAACAAGGCAGUGGCCGAUCAGCUCUGUGCCUGCUCACUGAUUCAUCGAGACCAACUUGGUGGGCGAGCCCCAGGGAUCCUCCAGCCUUCACCUCUCCAGGCUGAGACUACAGGAGUAGGCCACUUGCCUGGCUUUUCACCUGGGUUCUAAAAUUUCAAACUCAGGUCCUUAUGUUUGUUUGUACAGCAAGCAGUCUACCAACCAAGCAUGUCUCUAGCCCGUCUGCAUUUAAUUAAU
Mus musculus (house mouse) is the source of this 674-nucleotide long non-coding RNA. RefSeq annotates it as predicted gene, 36784. The record is from RefSeq and is a predicted model, not a curated record. NCBI's taxonomy places the organism in Eukaryota, Metazoa, Chordata, Mammalia, Rodentia, Muridae. The transcript has 3 exons.